CAGUGUGCCCAGAUGUCUUGCAUCCCAGUUCCAGUGCACAAAGCAACCACAUCAAAGAAGCAAACGCAGGAAUUGAGCUGCAUGGCUGCUGAUGGACAGCAAUGAUGGAUGGAUUCUUCCUGGCUUGAGGAUCAGUCCUGAGUUGUAAAGCACCUCGGCACGCAAAUGAGGAGUUGAGCUGAUAAAAUGAGGGAUCUGAAAACGAGGGGGCCGAGCCGGAUGAUCCGCCAAUGUUAAGAGGCGUGCUUUGAAGAAAAUUCCAUCAAAGGAAAAACAAUAAGUGAGGCUGUGUGUGUGUGUGUGUGUGUGUGUGUGUGUGUGUGUGUGUGUGUGUAGCCGUUGUUAAAUACCUUGCGUUGUUCAGAAAAUGCUUAAAAUCUCAAUUGGCUCCGUUAACUGGCAUCUGGAGAACAAUGAGUUGAAUCUGUUAGGGGGUUUGUAAAAGGCUUUUAGUGUUUCCGUCUCCUUCCAUAUGCCGUUGCGUGAUUUGCUUUGCAUCUUCAUAUUAGGCUGCACACCUUGUUUUCCUCCCUGCCGUGGCUGGAUAAUGAACGCUGGGGGAAAUUGUGUUUGAGUGUGGUUUCUGAUGUUUGAACAGUGAGAGGCGUGCUUGAUUUACGGUGCGGCUGGCAGCUUCAAGAGGGGACACGCAACUUACAGGGAUGGGAAUUAAGUGCUUCUCACGUUUACCAUUUAGUCCAAUUCCUGCAUAUUUUUUCAUACAUCAGUUACAAAUGGAUAUACAAUAGGUACUAAUUUAGAGCACUGGGUACUUAAUAUAUUUGUCGGGGCUCUAAGGAACAUACACCUGAACAGUUUCUUUACAGUUAUUAAUGGUAGGUAUUAGGGCUGUGCAAUGAAUCAAAUUUUAAUGGCAAUUCCAAUUUCAGCUCCUAAUGAUCACAAAACCAGCGUCAUCGACGAUUGUUUUGCAUAUUCUGUUAUGCCCCUAAACUCUUGUUUCUGUCUUGUGUGAAUGGGGUAAAAAAUAUG
Molecule: long non-coding RNA, 993 nt
Organism: Etheostoma cragini (Arkansas darter)
Lineage: Eukaryota; Metazoa; Chordata; Actinopteri; Perciformes; Percidae
Exons: 3
Source: RefSeq, a predicted model, not a curated record